Molecule: long non-coding RNA, 542 nt
Organism: Dreissena polymorpha
Lineage: Eukaryota; Metazoa; Mollusca; Bivalvia; Myida; Dreissenidae
Exons: 2
Source: RefSeq, a predicted model, not a curated record
GAUAACUUAAGAACGCUUGGGAUAGGAUCAUGAAACUUUAUAGGUACAUUGAUCAUGACUCGCAGAUGACCCCUAUUGAUUUUGAGGUCACUAGGUCAAAGGUCACGGUGACCCGAAAUAGUAAAAUGGUUUCCGGAUGAUAACUCAAGAACGCAUACGCCUAGGAUCAUGAAACUUCAUCGUUAGAUAGAUCAUGACUCGCAGAUGACCCCUAUUGAUUUUGAGGUCACUAGGUCAAAGGUAAAGGUCACGGUGACCCGAAAUAGUUAAAUGGUUUCCGGAUGAUAACUCAAGAACGCUUACGCCUAGGAUCAUGAAACUUCAUAGGUACAUUGAUCAUGACUCGCAGAUGACUCAUAUUGAUUUUCAGGUCACUAGGUCAAAGGUCAAGGUCACGGUGACCCGAAACAGUAAAAUUGUUUCCGGAUGAUAACUCAAGAACGCUUUUGCCUAGGAUCAUGACACUUCAUAGGUACAUUGAUCAUGACUCGCAGAUGACCCCUAUUGAUUUUCAGGUCACUAGGUCAAAGGUCAAGGUCACA